GCCUCUUGACUUAACCAUAAGAGGUCCAGCCUGCCCAGUGACAUUGUUCAACGGCCGCGGUAUUCUAACCGUGCGAAGGUAGCGUAAUCACUUGUCCUUUAAAUGAGGACUAGUAUGAACGGCCACACGAAAGCUAUACUGUCUCCUUUCUCUAAUCAGUUAAACUAAUCUCCCCGUGAAGAAGCGGGAAUAACCAUAUAAGACGAGAAGACCCUAUGGAGCUUUAAGCAAUUGAAACACUUGUACCCAUCUUCUUCAUUUCCACAUAACACUUAACCCCACAUUUUGUUUCUAGCUUUAGGUUGGGGUGACCGCGGAGAAAAAAUUAUCCUCCACGCCGAAAGAGUUAAUCUCUAAACUAAAAGCUACACCUUUAAGUAUUAACAUAUUAACCUAAAUUGACCCAAUAAUUUGAUCAACGAACCAAG
RNAcentral lists this ribosomal RNA (428 nucleotides) under Anomaloglossus dewynteri group sp. ABGD cluster 12. RNAcentral describes it as "partial large subunit ribosomal RNA". It matches the Rfam family "Bacterial large subunit ribosomal RNA", at positions 1818 to 2461 of the family's 2925-position model. The record is from RNAcentral. Lineage: Eukaryota; Metazoa; Chordata; Amphibia; Anura; Aromobatidae.